This 465-nucleotide ribosomal RNA is filed under the name Vreelandella stevensii. RNAcentral's name for it is "partial 16S ribosomal RNA". It matches the Rfam family "Bacterial small subunit ribosomal RNA", at positions 338 to 795 of the family's 1533-position model. Lineage: Bacteria; Pseudomonadati; Pseudomonadota; Gammaproteobacteria; Oceanospirillales; Halomonadaceae. The record is from RNAcentral.
CCUACGGGUGGCAGCAGUGGGGAAUAUUGGACAAUGGGGGCAACCCUGAUCCAGCCAUGCCGCGUGUGUGAAGAAGGCCCUCGGGUUGUAAAGCACUUUCAGUGAGGAAGAACGCCUGGUGGUGAAUACCCAUCAGGAAAGACAUCACUCACAGAAGAAGCACCGGCUAACUCCGUGCCAGCAGCCGCGGUAAUACGGAGGGUGCGAGCGUUAAUCGGAAUUACUGGGCGUAAAGCGCGCGUAGGUGGCUUGAUAAGCCGGUUGUGAAAGCCCCGGGCUCAACCUGGGAACGGCAUCCGGAACUGUCAAGCUAGAGUGCAGGAGAGGAAGGUAGAAUUCCCGGUGUAGCGGUGAAAUGCGUAGAGAUCGGGAGGAAUACCAGUGGCGAAGGCGGCCUUCUGGACUGACACUGACACUGAGGUGCGAAAGCGUGGGUAGCAAACAGGAUUAGAUACCCCAGUAGUC